GUGGGCUGCGCGGCCGUUGCGACGAGCUGCAUUGCUGAUUCUUCGCUUGAGACUGGCAAUUGUCGAGCGGGUUGCAUCCGUUGUUACGUUGCCCGAAGACAGUAGUAAAUGUGAUUUGCAGGGUGCAAGCAACGUGUCAUUGUGGUUAGAAAAAAUGAAUCAGUAUACAUGUGAUUUAACUGUCAAAGCCGGAAUGUUUAAAGGAUCGACUGUCCAGCGAGGAGAUUGCGGAAUCAGCAACUGACAUAUUGACUGAUGAAACAUGAUGGUGCGUGCAGCAAGAGAGGGUUUGACUGCAGAUCCUGACCACCUGCUCCUGUAAAUUUGUACCAACCACAGGCGAAAACAAGAAGAAACGCUUUGAAUACCUGCGGUCUUCUAUCAGCUAGACAAGUCCCUGAAGCUAUAAAUCAAUAAACUUUGAUGUAUUCUGCUUUGGAGGU
Molecule: long non-coding RNA, 443 nt
Organism: Rhipicephalus sanguineus (brown dog tick)
Lineage: Eukaryota; Metazoa; Arthropoda; Arachnida; Ixodida; Ixodidae
Exons: 3
Source: RefSeq, a predicted model, not a curated record